ACUCCUACGGGAGGCAGCAGUGGGGAAUAUUGCACAAUGGGCGCAAGCCUGAUGCAGCCAUGCCGCGUGUAUGAAGAAGGCCUUCGGGUUGUAAAGUACUUUCAGCAGUGAGGAAGGUGGGUAUGUUAAUAGCAUAUCAUUGAUGUAUGCUGCAGAAGAAGCACCGGCUAACUCCGUGCCAGCAGCCGCGGUAAUACGGAGGGUGCGAGCGUUAAUCGGAAUUACUGGGCGUAAAGCGCAUGCAGGUGGUUUGUUAAGUCAGAUGUGAAAGCCCGGGGCUCAACCUCGGAAUUGCAUUUGAAACUGGCAAACUAGAGUACUGUAGAGGGGGGUAGAAUUUCAGGUGUAGCGGUGAAAUGCGUAGAGAUCUGAAGGAAUACC
Molecule: ribosomal RNA, 381 nt
Filed under: uncultured bacterium
Lineage: Bacteria
Description: bacterial SSU rRNA
Rfam family: Bacterial small subunit ribosomal RNA
Source: RNAcentral